This 503-nucleotide ribosomal RNA is filed under the name uncultured bacterium. Its description in RNAcentral is "partial 16S ribosomal RNA". It matches the Rfam family "Bacterial small subunit ribosomal RNA", at positions 28 to 523 of the family's 1533-position model. The record is from RNAcentral.
GAUGAACGCUAGCGAUAGGCCUAACACAUGCAAGUCGAGGGGCAGCAUAGAGUAGCAAUACUUUGAUGGCGACCGGCGCACGGGUGAGUAACACGUAUGCAACCUACCUACAUCAGGGGAAUAACCCGGAGAAAUUCGGACUAAUACCGCAUAAUACAGGGAUGCCGCAUGGCAAUAUUUGUUAAGGAUUUAUCGGAUGUAGAUGGGCAUGCGUUCCAUUAGCUAGUUGGUAAGGUAACGGCUUACCAAGGCAACGAUGGAUAGGGGAACUGAGAGGUUUGUCCCCCACACUGGAACUGAGACACGGACCAGACUCCUACGGGAGGCAGCAGGGAGGAAUAUUGGUCAAUGGACGAGAGUUUGAACCAGCCAAAUCGCGUGAAGGAAGACUGCCCUACGGGUUGUAAACUUCUUUUGUACAGGAAUAAAAGACAUUACGUGUAAUGUAUUGCAUGUACUGUACGAAUAAGCAUCGGCUAACUCCGUGCCAGCCGCCGCCGUAA